RNAcentral lists this ribosomal RNA (689 nucleotides) under Bradyrhizobium sp. Sj15c. RNAcentral describes it as "bacterial SSU rRNA". It matches the Rfam family "Bacterial small subunit ribosomal RNA", at positions 66 to 798 of the family's 1533-position model. Lineage: Bacteria; Pseudomonadati; Pseudomonadota; Alphaproteobacteria; Hyphomicrobiales; Nitrobacteraceae. The record is from RNAcentral.
GCGGGCAUAGCAAUAUGUCAGCGGCAGACGGGUGAGUAACGCGUGGGAACGUACCUUUUGGUUCGGAACAACACAGGGAAACUUGUGCUAAUACCGGAUAAGCCCUUACGGGGAAAGAUUUAUCGCCGAAAGAUCGGCCCGCGUCUGAUUAGCUAGUUGGUGAGGUAAUGGCUCACCAAGGCGACGAUCAGUAGCUGGUCUGAGAGGAUGAUCAGCCACAUUGGGACUGAGACACGGCCCAAACUCCUACGGGAGGCAGCAGUGGGGAAUAUUGGACAAUGGGCGCAAGCCUGAUCCAGCCAUGCCGCGUGAGUGAUGAAGGCCCUAGGGUUGUAAAGCUCUUUUGUGCGGGAAGAUAAUGACGGUACCGCAAGAAUAAGCCCCGGCUAACUUCGUGCCAGCAGCCGCGGUAAUACGAAGGGGGCUAGCGUUGCUCGGAAUCACUGGGCGUAAAGGGUGCGUAGGCGGGUCUUUAAGUCAGGGGUGAAAUCCUGGAGCUCAACUCCAGAACUGCCUUUGAUACUGAAGAUCUUGAGUUCGGGAGAGGUGAGUGGAACUGCGAGUGUAGAGGUGAAAUUCGUAGAUAUUCGCAAGAACACCAGUGGCGAAGGCGGCUCACUGGCCCGAUACUGACGCUGAGGCACGAAAGCGUGGGGAGCAAACAGGAUUAGAUACCCUGGUAAGUCCAC